This 64-nucleotide transfer RNA is filed under the name Camelus bactrianus (Bactrian camel). It matches the Rfam family "tRNA". Rfam says of the family: Transfer RNA (tRNA) molecules are approximately 80 nucleotides in length. Their secondary structure includes four short double-helical elements and three loops (D, anti-codon, and T loops). Lineage: Eukaryota; Metazoa; Chordata; Mammalia; Artiodactyla; Camelidae. The record is from Rfam by way of RNAcentral. RNAcentral also lists the same sequence under 2 other names.
GGGGGAAUAGCUCAGUGGUAGAGUGUGUGCUUAGCAUGCAUGGGUUCAAUCCCCAGUAUCUCCA